UCUCCGUUGGUGAACCGGCGGAGGGAUCAUUACAGGACUCGCAAGACUCCUUCACCCUGUGAACCUCACUACAAGCACGUUGCUUCGGCGGGUGUCCCGGCGGGGGUUUUCCCUCGCCGGGGCGCACAGCCCGCCGGCAGCCUACUAUACUCUGUCUCUUUGCGUUGGCAUCUCGAGAAAAAACAAACAAGUUAAAACUUUCAACAACGGAUCUCUUGGUUCUG
Molecule: unclassified non-coding RNA, 224 nt
Filed under: plant metagenome
Description: partial contains small subunit ribosomal RNA, internal transcribed spacer 1, and 5.8S ribosomal RNA
Source: RNAcentral